CCUGCUGAGCACUUCGGUUCGGACGCCGGGACGAUGGUUUUAUGCUGGGUCAUGUGGUAGCUCUGAUUCGAACCUGUCGCGGAGCCCCCCAUCCUGUCUCCCAUGAUCCAGCCAGCCCUCUCGGCCAUGAGGAGCACUGGCGUGUGCGAGGCCCUCCCGGCAUGCCACACAGUGCUGAGAACACGAGCUGCCCUCCCGAAUCUUCCAAGUCCCAUCAAAGAGACACCGCUGUUAUUCCCUCGUGUGGAGAGAAAACUGCUCCAGAGAGGCCUCGUGCCCUUCCUCCAGGUUAUUCCGCUGCUUCCAGGACUGGGAAGGACACGCUUGCAGAAAGCGUCCACUAUGGAGCGGCAUGGGCCCGCACCUCUGGGGACUCCAGUUUCCUGCCUGGAAAGCAGACGGUAAUAGUCCCUAGGGGCCAGCACAGACAAGCAGGAUGCAAAUGGAGCCACUGCUGACUAGGCCAGU
Molecule: long non-coding RNA, 468 nt
Organism: Tupaia belangeri chinensis (Chinese tree shrew)
Lineage: Eukaryota; Metazoa; Chordata; Mammalia; Scandentia; Tupaiidae
Exons: 3
Source: RefSeq, a predicted model, not a curated record